This is a long non-coding RNA of Lagenorhynchus albirostris (white-beaked dolphin), 9091 nucleotides long. RefSeq lists it as uncharacterized. The record is from RefSeq and is a predicted model, not a curated record. The transcript is spliced from 3 exons. Lineage: Eukaryota; Metazoa; Chordata; Mammalia; Artiodactyla; Delphinidae.
GGCGGGGCCUCUGGGCUGAGUCUUGCACCUCUGGGCUGAAUGCCCAGGCCACCUCCCGUCCAGGCCACCCUGCGACUGCUGGCCGAGUCCUGAGGGACAGUCUUUAUCUGGCCUUUUCUGAGGGCCGGUGCUGCUGUCACCUGAGUCUCCCCAGCGGCCGGGACGCCUCCUGUCUGUCCUCCUCCAGUGGGUGCCCCACAGGCCAUCGGUUCCGUGUCACACCGCACGUCUGUCCUCAUCGACCCCGGGCUGAAGACCCUGCCGAGCCCUCUCCUGUUUAAGCCCCAACACCUCCUUGGUGCCCUGGGAGGGCCUUCGGGCGGCCCCAGCUCUCCGUCCUUGUCGCCCAACACCCUGGGUGCCUGUGCUGUCCGUGCACGCUGCGCGCACGCGCUCUGCGGGUCUCUACACUUCGGCACGUGCGGUUCCCGCUCCUGGAGCCCUGGUUCCUCUUGUCCUGGCGAGCUCCUGUCCUCCUCCCAGGCACAGCUGUAACGUCCCCUUCUCCGCCCGCCGCGAGCGUCAGGAGCUCCCGUCUGGGGUUCUGGCAGCGCCCUGUGCCUUCCUGCUGCCUGCCUUCGCUGGGCUCUUCUUCCCGGGCUGGAGCUGCUCUCCAGGAGUGCCGGGAAGACAAGGACAAGCUCUUACUCGUUCCUGUAAGCCGGGCGCCUGCCACAGCUGCUGCUGAGGGGACGUUGGCUCAACAGAGCACUGCUUUCUCUUCCAGCGAGCUGGCCUCCUCUCUCCUUGCGGAAGCCUGAGGAAACAGGAAUGCCGGCCCCGAGGUGAGGAGCAGAGGGUGCCUUCGUGGAUGUGAGGCCUCGGGGCUGCGGGGCACCUGAGCGAUCAGCAGGUCCAACUCCCUCCAUGCCGGUGUCCCCUCCUCGGCUCGUCGCCCCAGGAGUGGUUGCGAGCUGCGUCCAGACACCCCAGAACCUCGUCGGAGUGGUUUCAAAUCAUGAGGGAGGGUCCCGGGAAUGGUGGGUGGGCUGCUGGCGUUCCUCCCGAAUCCCGGUUUUGAAGAACUGGAACUUGCCCAGUGAGCUAGAGGCCCGUGAUCGGUGGCUGCUGGUUGGGGGACAGCUGUGACGGCGCUCCGUAAGGACUCCCUUCUCUGACCCUCCCGUGUGUGCUGAGAGGCGGGGAGCCCCAGGUCCCCCGGGGCGGGGGAGGUCCGGGGUAGUGGCUGCCAGGCCAGUUCGCUGCCGGAUGGGCGGGUGCAGGAGGAAUGGCCUGGCCGUGUUGCAGGUGGGCGUGGGACGGUGUGUGGCUGCCCCCGGGAGAGGGACCCCUCUGCAGCUCAGCCUUGAUCUUCAGUACAGCUAAGUCAGCGCCGAGCCUUCAAACCAUCUGAUUUCUGACUUCCCGGUGACGCUUUCUCCACCUGCUGCUUCCCACACCCUCCAGGAGCAAGGUCCCGGCAGGAACAGGCCUUCUCUCCCUCCUGUCUGCUCACUUGGGGGUCAGCCGGGCCUCCAGCCUGGCCGCUCCCGCCUUCCGCUGCUCGGGCUGCUGCUUCCUCCCAGCCCCUGUGACUGGGCCGCAGCCCACAUCCCAGGAGGGAGUCUCCUCCCCAAGCUCCGCUUCCUCCCCCGACACGCUUCUGUCCCCGUGAGGCACCCCAUCUUCCUUCUAGGAAGUCCUCGUCGUUUGCGCCACUGCUCUUUGGGGGGCGGUGCCCCCAGGACAUCGUCUCCCCUCGGAGCCCGGGGCACCUGCUCUGAGUGCACUUCCCCUUCUGACCCCCGCCCAUGGCACCAGCAGACCUCACUGUCCCUGCGACCCAUCUGGGCACUUGCCUCGGCGGCUGCGUCCCCUUCUCGGCCCCGGGGGCCUGGGUGCCUCCAGCCCCCACCCCAACUGCGUCUUUGAGGCCCGGAGAGGGUUCCAGUUUGCUCCUGCCGCACGUUUGGGGGUACCACCGGUGUGGGACGGGCUCGACCCAAAGUCUCAGUUUCCCUAGUGUCCUCCUUGGUAGGGCUGGUUUCCUCUCUGCAACGCCUUUUGCCCAUCUUUCCACUGAGCUGCGUGUCCUUUUUGUGCCGAGUCGUGGGAGCUCCUUCCGGGGUCCGGGUACUAGUCCCGCCCUGGUUGUUUGUGUUUCAGAUGCCUCCUCCUGCCCCUUGGGGGCUGGUUUCCUCCUCUCUCUGAAGGGCAGCUUUGGACUCGGCAUGCGCCUACACCCUCUCCGGCCUGUAAGUGCCCCACACGUCAGGGCGUGUCCCGCCGGCCCACUCCCAGGCCCGCCCCCUGGGGCUGGUGGUCCCCGAGGAGCCGGUGCCCUGGCGUCCAGCGCUCUGCCCGUGAGAAAGGGCUCCUUCUUGACUGGGUAAGUCACUCGGUCAGUGCCUGGCUUUAGUCCCUGCCCUGGACUCACGCAGGGCAAGCCCCGGGGCAGCCGUGCAGCUGCAGGAAGACGGCCGGCCUUGUUUUCUCUGCCCCAGCUCCCGGUUUACCUCCUGCCGCCCCACAUCUGGCCUGUUUCUAAGACGUGCUCCCCUGCCCCCUCCUUCCCCUCUGUCCCCUGGGCAGCUCCUGUUGGCCGUGUCCCUCUCCACACGGCCCAGAUCGAGGGGUCCAGCCUGAGAACCGCAGGUGUUUCUGAUUCUGUCUCAGUGACUGGCGCUGCAGGACCUCGGGAAGAAGCUGCACGCAGGGGACCUGCAGACGUGAGCAGCCACUUGGCCGCCACUGCUCGGGUUGGCGCCUGCGCAGGGAACGUGGCGCAGCACAGGGGGCCUCCUGUGCGCUUCUGGCGAUGCCCCCACUUGCAUUCACGUUACAGACGGUUAUAUCGCCUUUGGCUGGGGGCGGGAGAUGCUCGUCUCCAGGUCUGCGGCACUCCUGAGCUCUUGGGUCUACGUGCUCUUCAGCGUCCUCAGUCUCUGGGCAACGACCCGGGCCCCAGGCCCUCCGCAGCUGGAGGGGGCCUUCCCGACAUCAGGCCGUGGCCCAGUGAAUGGGGCCAGCUUCCUUGUUUGAGAGAUUCAGGAGUGGGGCCGGGGUGCGGGGGUGGGAGUCUGGAGCGAGCGUUGCCAUCCCGUAACCGUGGUCACAGGGCUUGGAUGACAGGACUGCUGUGCUCUGUGCCUGUAGGGCCCAUUCAGCCGCCUCCUGAGUAUCCCUGUGCUCUCCGUGGUGACUUUACAAAGGACAGAGAGGAUGUGAAGAGUCAGGAGCAAGGGACGCCCAUAAGGCAUCGCCUGGAGGCAGGAAGGGUCAUCCCAGGUUCUGAAGGAUUCCUCGGCAGACAUCUCACUAAGCCCUGCGCCUGGUUCCGGAGGAUACUGGAUUGCAGCCUCUCCCUGCUGAAGACCAACUGACAAACCCUCGGGAAUGGCCCUGCGUACCUGGGACCAGUGACAGCCUCUGCUCAGAAACCCCGGCCCAGGGGUGCUCCUGAAGCGGCCGCAGAGACAGAGUUUAUCGCGUCUCCCACAUCAGGGUCAAGCUGGGCCCGGUGUCCACCAGCCUCCAGCUGUCUGGUUGUCCCGCUUCCCGGUGUUGGGUCACCCAGCGCGGAGCCCGAGGUCCCUUUGGGAGGGGCUGGGGGGUCAUUCCAGUGCCUGCUUGCCGUGGUGCUGCAGCGUCCUUCCCGCUGGGGACCCGCCACGUCCCUGGUCCGCGGUUCCACGUCUGAGAACUGGCUCGGGGGCAGAACCUGGGCGAGGGAUCGUGACUUGUUCACUGGGGCGGCUGCCCUCGGCCUCCUGCCGUCCGUCCUUGCUCUUUUGAGUGUCCAUCUUAGACUGUAUCUUGGUUGGUUGCCCAUCCAUCGAGCCCCCGGGAAGCCGUAUGGUACUGACCACCUGCCCCGCUCGGUGGGUCAGGCCUCCUGGUCAGUGGCGGCCAUCGUCAUAGCCCCUGGUUUCUGGCCGCUCAGUGGCGCCCCACGACCUCUGCUGCGGUCCCUGGGCGGCGGGGGAGGGCAGGGGCUCGUCCCUUUCCUCCCUCACCUGGCCUGGCGCGCCCGGCCUGUGUUGUGAGGUGACUUCGCUCUGCUUGGGGGCCUGGCAGUGGGCUGACCACCUCUCCCCAUUUUUCCUGCACUCUCCUGCUUGUAGCGCUUCGGGUCCCACAGCAAAUCGGGGCGGCUGGCUACCCUGUCUCCUGGGACGGAGGGCACCUGUGGGGAAGGACACGGGUCAUGUUUGCUCCCUCGGGGGUGAGUUGGGGACGCCAGCUCUUUAGGGGGAGGGGUGUGCCGCUGCCUCAGGCUCAGAAGCUCAGAGACAUCUGGGGAGCCCCGCUCUUCUGGGGCUUCCUCCCGGUCUCCCUGGUCCUCGUGUCAAGGAUGCAGGUUUGCCCAGGUGGGCUUCCGAUGCUGGCGGGACGGGCGUGCCUUGGUUGAACGUUCAGCGUCUUUGAGGUUCAGCCACUUCUGUCGAAUCCUGGGUUGGACGAUUGUCCGCUGCCUGAGAUGGGGGCUCCUUUGUAAGGUACUGGGGAGACCCUGGGGCCCCCUUUUUUCUCACUUUGCUCUUCACCCUAAGCUGCUCAUCCCCUAUGGUCGGCAAAGCAAAGAAGUCACCUCCCCCUGUGCCCCCCGCGUUCCGCACGCUUGGAUCUUCUCACCUGCCAGGACGUUCCUCUCCCCCUGCCAGCCCAGCGAAAAUUCUAGCAUGAAAGUUCUAGCAACUGGGCUGUGGCCUUGCGGCCGGGGCUGUCCGCCCGCACACCACCCAUCCCCGGGGUGGGGUCCUCAUUGCCAGUGAGGCGGGUGAUGACAAUCCCGUACCAAGACCCCAUCUCAUCACCUGCUCCUUGGACCACUCCAGGGCCGGCCGGCUCGGGUUGCGUCCCUCGGGAAGCUGAUCCCGGGAGAGAGUUAGUGCCAAAGGCUGGCUGGGGACUCACACCCACUAAGGGGACAGGGAGCAAGCAGGGUUGGGCAGGGUGUCCCUUCAACCUGCGAUGUCGACCUGACGGUUUCUGCCAGCCCGUCGGGGAGCUGCAGAGCACGGACGGGCAUUAGAGGUCCCCGCAGUGGGCCCCCGUGGUCAGGCCCUCGCAGCGCCCGAGGCCUUGCGAUCCACAUCGACUGACCGGGAGAACCAACACCCAGAAGUGGUGCCCGAGGGGUGGCUGCGUGCGCGCACGGGGCGCCAGCUGCCUUUGCCCGGGCAGCACCUUGCUCUGCCCUGCGGCCGGCCUGGUGGGAGGUGCUUUGGCUUCUUGUGCAUCAGACGACCGCUGGGUUGGGCCGGGGACGUGCUUCCAGGGCGUUGGCUGACUGGCCAUCUGUCAGCGUCAUCGGUGUCAGCGCAGCUUGAUGGGAGAGGGCAGAUCUGGGUACCAGGCGUCAGAAGGCAAAGCCCAUUUAAGUCCGCAGACGUCCGUCCUGUGAGAGGGUCCUGGACUGUGCAGGGACACAGGUGUCCACUCGCCCUUGGGUUACUCAGGGCUGGUGGGGGAGGGGCAUCUUCCAGGCAGACCUGUAAAGCACAGAGUCUGAACCGAGGCGGAAGGAGGGCAACGUGAAGAGCGGGGAAGCCCUGACUCAGAGCCAGGGGCUGCGGAGGGCUUCAGGGACGAGGGCCGUCUGGGCUGGGUCUUGAAGUGAGAAGGGUCUCCUUAGCUGGGAGAUGGGGGACGGGCCCCCUGGAAGGGCCAGACACGUUCAGGGGACUGAGCCCAGGUGCGUGGCUGGAGCAGACGAGUUUGUGGAGGGCCCCAGCCUGACACCAGCAAUCAGGUCCUCUGAGCGAUUGCUGGCAUGGGAGUUUUAGAGAUUUUGAUGUGCUGUGAAGUUUCAUUCAUUGUCUGUAGAGGGAAGUGUGUGUGCAGAGCACCCAGGUAGGCUGGGCAGGCUCCUGUCGUCCACAGGGAGCAGCGUGGGAGGAAGCACAAGCUCUGCUCUGCCGUCACAAACCUGCGAUUGAUCCCCGGCCCCACCACUGCUGGAGUGUGAGCCUAAGCAAAUCACUUUACCUCUGUGAGUCUGGACUUCCUCGUCUAAAGGACGGGCAUAAUGUGAAAGUCUCCCCAUAAGGACUAAUUUUUUAAAUUCUGUCUGGUGGGGGUGAGGAUGACACGGGAUGAUUCACAUGAGAGCAAUCUGUAAACCAGAAAGCACCUACUACGAAUAGUGUUCGAAGAGACGUCUCUGUUUUCCCAAGAAGGAUUUGCCAGGCUAGAAAGAGUGUGGGAAAGCAGGCCUGUGCCUUGAAACCUGCAGCUGGGAGACAGGCAGACACUGAAAAGCCUCCAGCUUGGAAUGGAGGAAGAGAACAGUGACUGUCGGACUCCAGUCCCAAAGGUCCUACAGGAUAUGGCCUGGGGACUUGGGGGCCAUGGGUAGGUUUUGACCAAAGACGUAUAGUGGCCCCUGGACACAAUAGGAGGCAGCGUGAACUGAGUCAAUCCGACAGGGUUUGAGAAUUAGGGGCUGUAGCAGCGCCAGGAAUCACUGAAGCUAGGAGCUUCCCUGAACUGUGUGGGAGUUGAUGUCAGCCUGCUGCCUCGGGAAAUACGGGUCUGUGAUUUGCUCUCCACGAUUCCAUCAGCCAUGAUGCUUUGGCAACCAAAAGUGUUUUCACCAGCUUGACCUAAACCCUUUUGGUGGUAAAACCAAAAAUGGAUGAUGCCACAAAGCUAUUUAUAGCAUCCUGAAUUUUUCUUUAUUUAUCCCAUUUGGUGUUAAGAGUCAUGUGGUUCACUGCAGAGAAGUCAGCGUGUUUGCUAGACCCUGCCAGGGUGUCACUGAUAUAUGCUCUGUGUCCCCAUCAUCUUCAUGAAUCCUGAAACUCACGUGGCCCCCAAGGCUUUUGGACGAAGCGUUGUGCGCAUGUGAUAUUAACACCAGUAAGAACCAACAUUUUGACAGAGGCCCAGGGUUCCUGGGUGUGUGACCUUCCUCCAGCCUUCGGCCAGCAGGGAUGCCCUCCCUGGGACAGGCAGGACUGAGGCCCAAGCCCCAGGUCAACCUAGAUGACUAGAUACCCCACCAUCUGUCAAACUGCAUCAGGAUGUGGAAUCUCGUUUGGCACCAACCACGGUCUUCCAUGGGAGAAAUGGGAUGAACCUAGAGCUAAAAAGAGGAAGCGUUCUUGGAAAGCGUGUUUGUCCACUAGUUGUUUAUAUCUCUGAAAACCUGUCCACUGUCUUGUUUCAGGAAAUCCCGAGCGCUGUGCCAUCUCCCAGUGCUGUCCCACAAAGCCUGCGUCCCCCACACAAUUCUGGUGUGUUUUGUGCUUUAGGAGUCUCUGAUUUUGAGAGCUCGGUGAUGACACGGAGCUCGGCAUCAUCAGGCUCACCCAGUUGCCUUGCUUUCAUAGCACACUUCCCAAGAGCCCAGGGGGAAAUGCAGCUGGAGGGAAAGGGCGCUGUGCUGCCACAGGUGCUAGUUGCUCUGCUGGGUGGCCCCCUCUGUCCCUGAGAAGCCUGUCUGUUAACUUUGGACAGGAUGGAAAGAUGCCUUCAGGGACGUGUCACUUGCUCCAUGCUUAGUAACUAAUUAUAUUAUUAGGAUUAACCUGGACCCUAAAUUGCAAAGUCCAUGUUUUCCCUGAGCAAAAUUGAGGUUUUCUGCCAGCCAAUGAUCUGGAAGCUCUCUCUUGCCUGCCCACCCCUGCUUCUGUGCCUUGGUGACUCUCCAUGUACCCUGGUUGCCCAUGAGGAUGCAUGGUGGUCAGCCUCACACACAGGGCUGAGCGGCCCAGACCAAUGCCCUGGGCUGGGUUUGUCCUUGGCACCGUGGCCAUCAUGACUCAGAGGCUAUUUAGGGUUUAAGUUCCAGCUCUGCUGGCGGUGAGAUCUUGAGCCAGUGCUGACCCUUCUCCAGCCUCAGUUUGCACAUCUGUAUGCUGGGCGUAGUAACAGUGCACAGUCCCUGAGGCAGCAGGGAGGAUUCCAUGAGUUGAAAGGCUGGAAUGAAUUUGGUGCACAAAGAUGUUAUGGGGAAGAGAAGCAGGAAAAUUAUGUUGGGGUCUUUUGCCUGCCUUUGGGCCCCACCACCGGCUGACAAUUGCAGAAAGAGUGCUCAAUGCUACCUUGCCUCCAGCCUGUUGUCGUGUCCCUCUGGGGUUCUGAGAACUGGUUCUUUAAGCAGCUUGUUGUUGACGUAGAAGACAAGUUACACUGGAAAUGCGAAACCAGAGUUGCUCUGCUCAAAGUGCCAGGAACAAGGCACCAGGAAGAUGCCCCACUUGCUCCCUGGAGCCUGUCAGGCAACUGGGUGGGUAUCACCUGAGUAAGGCUGAAGUCCCCUGUGCCACAGGCUGCGGCUUCAGAACUGGAAGCAUUUCACUGGCCCAGCUGGCAUUUCUCUGAAGUUCACGAGCCAUGGUGUGGGACUCAGGAGGGCCAGCAGUCGCUGCAGCUGUGCCCCAGUGAGGCUAGAGCUGGGGCAGGCCACGUAGGGCAGGAUCUGGAACUCCACUGGCAGAACCUGCUACCCACAGCCCCAGAUUAUUGAGUACCUGCUGGACACUGGGAACAGACCCCUAGGCAGUCUCUUUGUGGGAAUUCACAUUUCCUGAUGCGGCCAAGGGAAGUUUAGCAGCGGGUCAGGACCACCCUGUGGAGCUAGGAUUGAAAUUACAUCUGUCUGAAGGCAGAGCUCAUGCUCAUUUAAUUGCCCCAUCAUGUGACCACUCCACGUGCCACCACUCAGAGAGGUGGGGGCCACGUGGCCCGCUGGAGGCCAGCAAGCUGUCGGGGGCAGUGACGUUGGGCAGCUGGUGGUUUCUGCCAGGGUACAAGGUGAAGGCUAGGACCGGGAGUUUCAAGCUUUUGCUCCUACCCGGGGUUCAAAGGCAACACUUGGGCUCCAAAAUUCAAUGGAGAGAAAUUCCAGCUUUAAGGACUUUUGCAAGCUGUGGUUUGCCUGUGAACACAUGUCCUUUAGCAAGAAUCCCCUCUGGUAUGCCUUCCACCCAAGUGUUUUUAUUGGUCCCUUAGAGACUCUUACAGAAGUUUCCCAUAUUGAUAGACUUUUAAAUGAUGUUACAGAAAUAUCACAUCACACGGAUUACAUAAGGGGUGACGUCCACUGCUUCCCAAAUGCCACAUUUCUUCAAGUAAAAUGCAGAUGACAGCCUGCAGUGUAUAAGGAAAUGACAUCCUAGUAAAGGCAAAAUUGAAAUUCUCA